This is a long non-coding RNA of Ailuropoda melanoleuca (giant panda), 651 nucleotides long. RefSeq lists it as uncharacterized. The record is from RefSeq and is a predicted model, not a curated record. Lineage: Eukaryota; Metazoa; Chordata; Mammalia; Carnivora; Ursidae. The transcript has 2 exons.
UUUCACCUGGACUGUAAGAAGUAGCCCCAUUUCAGAGACUGAAAAUGUGAGGGGGGGAAGCUCAUUUCAGAACCAAUAAAAUACCGUAUGUAAAAUUUCCCUGAAAUUUGCCAGCUUCCUAUCUGCUGGUCUCUUUAUCCAGGAUUCACCUUGUGUCGAUUACCGCUCUGAUGGCAGAAGAUCGAAAUCUUGGGGCCGCCAGCCCACAAUACCCGAAUUCAAGAACCACAGGGAUCUCCCGCUGCCUGUCUGGAGUCCUCAGCUGGGGGCAGGGAAUCAACAAAGAGCAGAACCACCAGCUUAAGACAAAACCAACAACUGGAACCCAACGCUAUGUACGACACCUUGUAAGCGAGGAGACGACAGAACCCACAAGCUCCUAAGAGCAAACAGCGAUGCCCCUCGCUAUGGACAGUGUCCUGAAGCCAUGAAAUGCCCCCCAGGGUGCUUGGGAGGCACCAGCCAUUCAGACAGUGAACCCACCAAUGCACAGGAGUGUGCUUGGGACACAGUAAGUAGUACGAGUGAAUCAUCAUUUUUCACAGCUACACUCAAAAACUGAAAACAUAAAAACAAAACCGAAUACGUAUUAUGUUCAUAUCACCUACUUUAAAAAUUAAGAUAAUAAAACCCAAAUCUUAAAUACUCAAA